UUUCCGUAGGUGAACCUGCGGAGGGAUCAUUAUUGUGUAACCGAGGUGCAAGGGCUGGCGCUGACACGAAUUGUCGUGCAGGCGCGAGUGCCCUCACCCACAUCCAUGGCACCCCUAUCCGGACCACCGCGAGAGUCCCGCUUUGGCUUGUUAGUAGUGAGGCUUACGUUUUCACACAAAAUUUUUACGCAGUGGAGAAUGUAUUUUUUGUUUUUGCUGUCACGCGCUGAAUACAACUUUCAACCACGGAUCACUUCGCUCUACCAUCGCUGAAGAACG
Molecule: unclassified non-coding RNA, 279 nt
Filed under: plant metagenome
Description: partial contains small subunit ribosomal RNA, internal transcribed spacer 1, and 5.8S ribosomal RNA
Source: RNAcentral